Molecule: small nuclear RNA, 46 nt
Filed under: Cervus elaphus hippelaphus
Lineage: Eukaryota; Metazoa; Chordata; Mammalia; Artiodactyla; Cervidae
Source: RNAcentral
UCUCUUCAGCAGCACACAUACUAAAAUUGGAGAUAUCAAGGGAUUA